Molecule: ribosomal RNA, 2938 nt
Filed under: marine eukaryotic metagenome
Description: Bacterial large subunit ribosomal RNA
Rfam family: Bacterial large subunit ribosomal RNA
Source: RNAcentral
GUCAAGGAAGUAAGGGCGUAUGGUGGAUGUCUUGGUAUCAGAAAGCGAUGAAGGACGCGGCCAACUGCGAAAAGCCACGGGGAGGAGUAAGUAUCUUAUGAUCCGUGGGAUUCCGAAUGGGGAAACCCACCCAGAGUAAUGUCUGGGUAUCUUAUACUGAAUACAUAGGUAUAUGAAGCGAACCCGGCGAAGUGAAAUAUCUCAGUAACCGGAGGAAAAUAAAUCAAACGAGAUUCCCUUAGUAGCGACGAGCGAAUGGGGAAUAGCCCAAACCAAACCUACUUGUAGGUUUGGGGUUGUAGGACCGCAUGAGUAGGACUACUAUAUGAUAGUUGAAUGAGCUGGAAAGCUCUCCCAUAGAAGGUGAUAGGCCUGUAAGCGAAAUUUUAUAGUUACCGAAGCGGUAUCCUGAGUACCACGGGACACGAGAAAUCCCGUGGGAAUCUGGGGGGACCACCCUCCAAGGCUAAAUAUUAUCUGAUGACCGAUAGUGGACCAGUACCGUGAGGGAAAGAUGAAAAGAACCCCGGUGAGGGGAGUGAAAUAGAACCUGAAACCAUAUGCCUACAAGCUGUAGGAGUCCUGACUUGUCGGGAUGACUGCGUGCCUUUUGAUUAAUGAGCCGGCGAGUUACUGAGCGUAGCAAGGUUAAUCCCUUUAAGGGGAGGAGCCGUAGGGAAACCGAGUCCUAACAGGGCGAUCUAGUUGCGUUUAGUAGACCCGAAGCUAGGUGAGCUACCCAUGGUCAGGGUGAAGUGCCGAGAAGUCGGCAUGAAGGCCCGAACCGUUGUCAGUUGCAAAUGGCUCGGAUGAACUGUGGGUCGGAGUGAAAGGCUAAUCAAACCUAGUGAUAGCUGGUUCUCCCCGAAAUGUAUUUAGGUACAGCCUUAUGUAUGUCUUGAGGAGGUAGGGCACUGAAUGGGCUAGGGCUCUUUACGGGGUACCAAACCCAAUCAAACCACGAAUGCCUUUAAGAUCAAGCAUAGGAGUGAGACUGCGGGUGCUAAGAUUCGUAGUCGAGAGGGAAACAGCCCAGAACGUCAGCUAAGGUCCCUAAGAUAGAACUAAGUGGGAAAGGAUGUAAGAUCGCACAAACACCCAGGAGGUUGGCUUAGAAGCAGCCAUCCUUUAAAGAAAGCGUAAUAGCUCACUGGUCUAGUGGUCUUGCGCCGAAAAUUUAACGGGGCUUAAGUUCUACACCGAAGCUACGUCUUUCCGGUUUACCGGAAGGGGUAGGGGAGCAUUCUAUUGAUCGCUGAAGCUCUGGCGUGAGCCAGGGUGGAGAUUUUAGAAGAGACUAUGUCGGCAUAAGUAGCGUGAAAGUCUGUGAAAAACAGACUCGCCGUAAGCCUAAGGUUUCCUGGGGAAGGAUAGUCCUCCCAGGGUAAGUCGGGCCUAAGUCGAGGCCGAAGGGCGUAGACGAUGGACAACUGGUUAAAAUUCCAGUACCAUCUAUGAUGCGUUUGACCUAUGGGGUGACGCAGGAGGAUAGGUUCUGCCGGGCGUUGGUUGUCCCGGUACAAGCAAUCAGGGUAGUGGCCAGGCAAAUCCGGUCACUAUUAACCCGAAAUGUUACGUGGAUCCCGAGUAAUUCCGGGAGAAGAGGCUGAUUCCAAGCUGUCAAGAAAAACCUCUAUGGGAGUAUCAUGGAUGACCGUACCGCAAACCGACACUGGUAGGUGGGUAGAAGAUACCAAGGCGAGCGAGUAAACUCUCGCAAAGGAACUCGGCAAAAUGGCCCCGUAACUUCGGGAGAAGGGGUGCUUCUGUAAAGAAGUUUCAAUAAAGAGGCUCAAGCGACUGUUUAGCAAAAACACAGGUGUCUGCUAACUGGAUAACAGGAUGUAUAGACACUGACGCCUGCCCGGUGCCGGAAGGUUAACAGGAGGGGUUAGGACUUCGGUCCGAAGCUCUGAAUCGAAGCCCCGGUAAACGGCGGCCGUAACUAUAACGGUCCUAAGGUAGCGAAAUUCCUUGUCGGGUAAGUUCCGACCUGCACGAAUGGCGUAACGAUUUGAGCACUGUCUCUGCGAGAGACUCGGCGAACUUGAGAUACCGGUGAAGACGCCGGUUACCUGCAACAAGACGGAAAGACCCCGUGAACCUUUACUACAACUUGACAGUGAAUUUUGGUGAAGCAUGUGUAGGAUAGGUGGGAGGCUAUGAAACUGAAACGCUAGUUUUGGUGGAGCCAACCUUGAAAUACCACCCUUGCUUUUUUGAGAUUCUAACUAUUCCCCAUUAUCUGGGGAGAGGACAUUGUCUGGUGGGUAGUUUGACUGGGGCGGUCGCCUCCCAAACAGUAACGGAGGCGUACAAAGGUCUGCUCAGGCUGGUCGGAAAUCAGCCAUCGAGUGCAAAGGCAUAAGCAGGCUUAACUGUGAGACAAACAAGUCGAGCAGAUGGGAAACCAGGUCUUAGUGAUCCGGUGACUCCUUGUGGAAGGGUCAUCGCUCAACGGAUAAAAGGUACUCCGGGGAUAACAGGCUGAUAGCAUCCAAGAGUUCAUAUCGACGAUGCUGUUUGGCACCUCGAUGUCGGCUCAUCACAUCCUGGGGCUGAAGUCGGUCCCAAGGGUUGGGCUGUUCGCCCAUUAAAGUGGUACGCGAGCUGGGUUCAGAACGUCGUGAGACAGUUCGGUCCCUAUCUGUUGUAGGCGUUGGAGAAUUGAGAGGAGCUGUCCUUAGUACGAGAGGACCGGGAUGGACGAACCUCUGGUGUGCCAGUUGUUAUGCCAAUGGCAACGCUGGGUAGCUAUGUUCGGAUUGGAUAACCGCUGAAAGCAUCUAAGUGGGAAGCCAACCUCAAGAUUAAUUCUCCCUUGUCCCGUUUCGGCGGGACGCUGAAGGUCGGUGGUAGACUACCACGUUGAUAGGCUGGAGGUGUAAGUGCGGUGACGUAUUAAGCUGACCAGUACUAAUUGACCGUGUGCCUUGAC